Long non-coding RNA from Bufo bufo (common toad), 441 nucleotides. RefSeq lists it as uncharacterized. Lineage: Eukaryota; Metazoa; Chordata; Amphibia; Anura; Bufonidae. The record is from RefSeq and is a predicted model, not a curated record. The transcript has 3 exons.
AUAUAGUACUAAUCAGGGGCGUACAUAUAAAUCAUUGGGCCCCAUAGCAAGAAUCUGAAUUGGGCCCCCUAACUCCGCCCACUAGCCAACCCUUGGCCCAUCCCUGUGCCCCACGUUCAGCACGCAGGCCACAGGGAGUACAAGCUUACACACAGCCCCAGAGAAUAAAGAGUUAAAGCAGUGACGUCACCUCUUUCUGCAAAACAAGAACGUUUCUGAAAACUGGAAUCACAGGAAGGGGGAAGACGACAACAUCGCCCCCCCUGACAGCCACAAGCAGAACAGCAUUUCCCCGAAUGAUAAAAGUCAGCAGUCAGACGCCCCUGUGAAAAAUAGAGGUUGAGGAGACACAGGGUGAAGAACUGCAGGCAGAUGGGGGCGCAAUAGAGCAGCCACUGCGGGAAAGGCUGCAGUGCAUUGGCCUGGGCAAUACUUAUACCA